UACACGUAAAGUGUGACAGGGCUAUCCCGAGUGCCAUCCGCUGAGGAAGGCUUUUACCCAGUGUAGAUAGCUGGGGGAAUAAGGAGAGGGCAAGACUGGUGUCAGCCGCCGCGGUAAUACCAGCUCUCCGAGUGGUGUGGAUGUUUAUUGGGCCUAAAGCAUCCGUAGCUGGCCAAGUUAGUCCCCUGUUAAAUCCACCGAUUCAAUCGUUGGAGUGCGGGGGAUACUGCUCGGCUAGGGGACGGGAGAGGCCGACGGUAUUUUCGGGGUAGGGGUGAAAUCCUAUAAUCCCGGGAAGACCACCAGUGGCGAAGGCUGUCGGCUAGAACGCGCCCGACGGUGAGGGAUGAAAGCUGGGGUAGCGAACCGGAUUAGAUACCCGGGUAGUCCCAGCUGUAAACGAUGCAGGCUAGGUGUUUGGGCGGCCACGUGCCGCUCUAGUGCCGCAGGGAAGUCGUUAAGCCUGCCGCCUGGGGAGUACGGUCGCAAGGCUGAAACUUAAAGGAAUUGGCGGGGGAGCAC
This 522-nucleotide ribosomal RNA is filed under the name uncultured archaeon HA09. Its description in RNAcentral is "bacterial SSU rRNA". It matches the Rfam family "Archaeal small subunit ribosomal RNA", at positions 356 to 879 of the family's 1478-position model. The record is from RNAcentral.